GCCUUCUUAGCUCAGCUGGUAGAGCAAUUGAUUUGUAAUCAAUAGGUCAACGGUUCGAUCCCGUUAGAAGGCUCAA
RNAcentral lists this transfer RNA (76 nucleotides) under Flexibacter sp. CG_4_10_14_3_um_filter_32_15. Its description in RNAcentral is "tRNA-Thr". It matches the Rfam family "tRNA". From Rfam's summary of the family: Transfer RNA (tRNA) molecules are approximately 80 nucleotides in length. Their secondary structure includes four short double-helical elements and three loops (D, anti-codon, and T loops). Further hydrogen bonds mediate the characteristic L-shaped molecular structure. tRNAs have two regions of fundamental functional importance: the anti-codon, which is responsible for specific mRNA codon recognition, and the 3' end, to which the tRNAs corresponding amino acid is attached (by aminoacyl-tRNA synthetases). tRNAs cope with the degeneracy of the genetic code in two manners: having more than one tRNA (with a specific anti-codon) for a particular amino acid; and 'wobble' base-pairing, i.e. permitting non-standard base-pairing at the 3rd anti-codon position. The record is from RNAcentral. Lineage: Bacteria; Pseudomonadati; Bacteroidota; Cytophagia; Cytophagales; Flexibacteraceae.